Molecule: small RNA, 1195 nt
Filed under: uncultured fungus
Lineage: Eukaryota; Fungi
Description: eukaryotic LSU rRNA
Rfam family: Eukaryotic large subunit ribosomal RNA (bases 748-1195)
Source: RNAcentral
UCCGUAGGUGAACCUGCGGAUGGAUCAUUACCAAUUUUUAUUAUUAGUUUGGAAUAGUCUCUCGGUCAAACGGGAGGUCUAUUGCAACACUACUAAUGUAAACGUUGAACUAGAUCAUUGGUGUGGAUUGUUUGGGAAUGGAAGAAGCGACAAGCCUCUUCCGGACAGGCAAACCCCACAUCGAUAACCUUUUUUCAUACUAAUUACAACUUAGUACAUACUACAAACAAACAAACAAAAGUUUCUAAUAGGACUUAUAUACAAGUUGAGUGGGUAAAAGCCUCAGCUUUAAAACUAAUAACUAUUACAACUUUCAGCAAUGGAUCUCUAGGCUCUCGCAUCGAUGAAGAACGCAGCGAAUUGCGAAACGUAAUGUGACUUGCAACUCUCGUGAAUCAUCGAAUCUUUGAACGCAUCUUGCACUAUUCGGCUUCCCCGGAUAGUAUGCCUGGUUGAGUGUCUGUGUAUCUCUCCUAAUAACAAUUUUGUGUUGUUAAUAGGGACUUGGGGUCUUAAUCUCGUCGGAAACCUUCAUUGGUAACCGGUGAACCCUUUAAAUAUAGUAAGCUCCCAUCUUUUCCACUAUGGAAAUACGCAAACUUGGGGAUGGCGUCGUAGCAAUCUUUUGUAUUGUCGAAGCGCCUACAACAUACCUCUAAUCUGCGGUGCUAAUCCAUACUAGGUGGGCGAAGCUUAACGACUGGCAAAGUGCCAUGCUCUGUUUACACUGGAGCACACGAACAACAAUGACCUCAACUCAGGUAGGACGACCCGCUGGACUUAAGCAUAUUAAUAAGCGGAGGAGAAGAAACUAACCAGGAUUCCCUUAGUAACUGCGAGUGAAGCGGGAAAAGCUCAAAUUUGGAAUCUGGGUAGGCAACGCCAGCUCUUACCCCGAAUUGUAAUUUAUAGAGGUGUGAUCCGUCAGGCGGCAUGCUUUGGUCCAAGUCAGGUGGAAUCCUGUGCCAUAGAGGGUGAUAGCCCCGUAGGACCUUGUGCUGACCGUCCGCUGUGACAUGCCUUCAACGAGUCGGAAUGUUUGGGAUUGCAUUCCUAAAUGGGUGGUAAGCUCCAUCUAAAGCUAAAUACUGGCGAGAGACCGAUAGCGAACAAGUACCGUGAGGGAAAGAUGAAAAGCACUCUGAAGAGAGAGUGAAAUAGUACGUGAAAUUGCUGAAAGGGAAACGCUUGAAGU